This 468-nucleotide unclassified non-coding RNA is filed under the name Hevea brasiliensis (rubber tree). The record is from RNAcentral. Lineage: Eukaryota; Viridiplantae; Streptophyta; Magnoliopsida; Malpighiales; Euphorbiaceae.
CUUCCCACAGCCUGAUAUUCAGACAGUGGCUACAGCUUCAGGGAAUACAACUAAUGUUGAUUCCCGCCAUCUACCAGAGCAUUAUGACAAUGCUAUUUUUUACGGGAUGCCACAAUACCCUGGUGUUCAACAUCAUCCUCAGCAUCAUGUGCCAAAUCUUGAUUUAGGUGUUGUUACUGCAUCCAAUUUCUAUGUUCCUUACAUGACCCCAUCUUCUAGUAUUCCUUUAAGUCAUGGGUCUUGUGACCGUUUACCAUCUUCCACCAAUUAUGGAGUCAUUGGAGUUUCUGCUGAUGAGUAUGGAACAAACAGCCACUUCAUGGAUAAUGCCAGAGGUUCAUACAAGAGAAAGAAUGCGGAAGGCAACCCUGGGAAUUUUCAGUAUUUCAAUGCCUCAGCAAGCUCCAGUUCUUCAGCUACAUCCUUAAAUACUAGACAUCCUGAUGGGGUUGCUUUAAUGGAUGCUGC